Sinocyclocheilus anshuiensis is the source of this 277-nucleotide long non-coding RNA. RefSeq lists it as uncharacterized. The record is from RefSeq and is a predicted model, not a curated record. The transcript is spliced from 4 exons. Lineage: Eukaryota; Metazoa; Chordata; Actinopteri; Cypriniformes; Cyprinidae.
UUCUUUGUUCUCCAGUGAACCCUCCGACAGUUCAGCCGCCAACAGUUAAGACCAAGACACCCAAGAAGACCUGUAAUUGCAAACCCCCCAGCUCUCCUAAAGGCUGUGAACAAUCAGUGCUUUGGCCGGGCAUUGGUGCUCUUUUGCUUUUGGCCAUUACACUUGCUGGCACACUUUACUACUUCAGUCGUCUACCUAAGAAGUGUAGACAUCAAUUUACCAAGACGAAUCAGUUGCGAUGAGGUGGAAGAACACACUCUUCAUGUCGAAACAAAUG